GUAGGGGAACCUGCGGCUGGAUCACCUCCUUUCUAAGGAUGAUCCUUCAGCGAGCUCACGCUCACUAUCGGAUCGUUUUAGAAACAUCAGGGGCCAACAGAUCGCCAGAUCGUUGAGCUCCAUUGGCGGGAUUUCGCCGUCUUCGUUUCUCUUUCUUCGCGGACGAACACGCGCCGGGGCUGCGCUGUGCGAUUGCAUUCGGCGCUGGUCGCCGGCUGCUGCACGCCGAGACCCUAGUCCUUGAUAGGAUAGCGUUAGGGGCUUGUAGCUCAGUUGGUUAGAGCGCGCGCUUGAUAAGCGUGAGGUCGGAAGUUCAAGUCUUCCCAGGCCCACCAGCCUUCGCGCUUCGCUGCUUCGGCUAGGCAAGCCCUUCGAUACGAAGGCUGUCGCGCUGUAGCUUUGGCGAAGGCGGGCUAAUCAAUCGAGCAUUCGUCUUCUGGUUACGGGGCCAUAGCUCAGCUGGGAGAGCGCGUGCUUUGCAAGCAUGAGGUCGUCGGUUCGAUCCCGUCUGGCUCCACCAGAUGGUUUGAUCACCGAGAUCUUGACCGUCGUCCGCGAAACAUCACUUCGCACCUACUAGUCUGGAUAGACAGUAACGUGCGUGAUUUCUGACAUCGUAAAGAGGAGAUCGAUCCGAGUUGGAUCGUGCAGGAGAUUUCUGCGCGAGCCUUCAUUAUCUCCGGAUCAUUUCGGCGCUCGCUUUCAACCGUGAGGUUGGCUGCGAGUUGUAAAUGAUCCUUUUAGCGAAGCUUGACCGCCUCGCUAUCGGAACGAUCUUACGAAGCAAGCUGGUCUUUCUAGUCAAUGUCCGGCUGCAGAUAGCGUUCAUCGAGGGCGCGUGCCUUAGAGAUUUCGAUCUCUUGGCAGUUCUGCAGACAACAUUCUGCCGAGUGUGUGGACAUUGAUAAUGAGAGC
This 915-nucleotide transfer RNA is filed under the name Bradyrhizobium iriomotense. RNAcentral describes it as "ITS sequence between 16S rRNA and 23S rRNA". The stretch from base 259 to 332 matches the Rfam family "tRNA". Lineage: Bacteria; Pseudomonadati; Pseudomonadota; Alphaproteobacteria; Hyphomicrobiales; Nitrobacteraceae. The record is from RNAcentral.